RNAcentral lists this ribosomal RNA (458 nucleotides) under Staphylococcus aureus. RNAcentral's name for it is "partial 23S ribosomal RNA". It matches the Rfam family "Bacterial large subunit ribosomal RNA", at positions 513 to 973 of the family's 2925-position model. The record is from RNAcentral. Lineage: Bacteria; Bacillati; Bacillota; Bacilli; Caryophanales; Staphylococcaceae.
GGUGAAAAGCACCCCGGAAGGGGAGUGAAAUAGAACCUGAAACCGUGUGCUUACAAGUAGUCAGAGCCCGUUAAUGGGUGAUGGCGUGCCUUUUGUAGAAUGAACCGGCGAGUUACGAUUUGAUGCAAGGUUAAGCAGUAAAUGUGGAGCCGUAGCGAAAGCGAGUCUGAAUAGGGCGUUUAGUAUUUGGUCGUAGACCCGAAACCAGGUGAUCUACCCUUGGUCAGGUUGAAGUUCAGGUAACACUGAAUGGAGGACCGAACCGACUUACGUUGAAAAGUGAGCGGAUGAACUGAGGGUAGCGGAGAAAUUCCAAUCGAACCUGGAGAUAGCUGGUUCUCUCCGAAAUAGCUUUAGGGCUAGCCUCAAGUGAUGAUUAUUGGAGGUAGAGCACUGUUUGGACGAGGGGCCCCUCUCGGGUUACCGAAUUCAGACAAACUCCGAAUGCCAAUUAAUUU